AGUGAACGCUGGCGGUAGGCCUAACACAUGCAAGUCGAACGGCCGCACAGUAAGCGCUUGCUCUUACGGGUGGCGAGUGGCGGACGGGUGAGGCAUACAUCGGAAUCUACUUUUUCGUGGGGGAUAACGUAGGGAAACUUACGCUAAUACCGCAUACGACCUACGGGUGAAAGCAGGGGAUCUUCGGACCUUGCGCGAUUGAAUGAGCCGAUGUCGGAUUAGCUAGUUGGCGGGGUAAAGGCCCACCAAGGCGACGAUCCGUAGCUGGUCUGAGAGGAUGAUCAGCCACACUGGAACUGAGACACGGUCCAGACUCCUACGGGAGGCAGCAGUGGGGAAUAUUGCACAAUGGGCGCAAGCCUGAUCCAGCCAUACCGCGUGGGUGAAGAAGGCCUUCGGGUUGUAAAGCCCUUUUGUUGGGAAAGAAAAGCAGCAGGUUAAUACCCCGCUGUUCUGACGGUACCCAAAGAAUAAGCACCGGCUAACUUCGUG
Molecule: ribosomal RNA, 492 nt
Filed under: uncultured bacterium
Lineage: Bacteria
Description: partial 16S ribosomal RNA
Rfam family: Bacterial small subunit ribosomal RNA
Source: RNAcentral